AAACCAACAGGGAUUGCCUCAGUAACGGCGAGUGAAGCGGCAAAAGCUCAAAUUUGAAAUCUAGCACCUUCGGUGUUCGAGUUGUAAUUUGAAGAUGGUAACCUUGGGUUUGGCUCUUGUCUAUGUUCCUUGGAACAGGACGUCAUAGAGGGUGAGAAUCCCGUCUGAUGAGAUGCCCAUUCCUAUGUAAGGUGCUAUCGAAGAGUCGAGUUGUUUGGGAAUGCAGCUCUAAGUGGGUGGUAAAUUCCAUCUAAAGCUAAAUAUUGGCGAGAGACCGAUAGCGAACAAGUACAGUGAUGGAAAGAUGAAAAGAACUUUGAAAAGAGAGUGAAAAAGUACGUGAAAUUGUUGAAAGGGAAGGGCAUUAGAUCAGACUUGGUGUUUUACGAUUAUCUUCUCUUCUUGAGUUGUGCACUCGUAUUUCACUGGGCCAGCAUCGAUUCGGAUGGUAAGAUAAUGACAGUUGAACGUGGCUUCACUUCGGUGGAGUGUUAUAGCUUCUGUUGAUAUUGCCUGUCUGGAUCGAGGGCUGCGUCUUUUGACUAGGAUGCUGGCGUAAUGAUCUAAUGCCGC
This 573-nucleotide ribosomal RNA is filed under the name Hansenula anomala. RNAcentral describes it as "partial 26S rRNA". It matches the Rfam family "Eukaryotic large subunit ribosomal RNA", at positions 62 to 648 of the family's 3401-position model. The record is from RNAcentral. Lineage: Eukaryota; Fungi; Ascomycota; Saccharomycetes; Phaffomycetales; Wickerhamomycetaceae.